This is a non-coding RNA of Monodelphis domestica (gray short-tailed opossum), 1406 nucleotides long. Lineage: Eukaryota; Metazoa; Chordata; Mammalia; Didelphimorphia; Didelphidae. The record is from RefSeq and is a predicted model, not a curated record.
UUGGGAGGACCACGGAUCCAAGAUUAAAAACCUCUGCUCUAAAAAAUCAGAAUAUCGCCUCAAUCAGGAAAGCAAAGAAUUAAUGUGGAGGGGUUGGAAAGUAGCAGCUGCUACUAAUAAUCCUGAGGAGAUACAACUCUUUCCUAGUCUUGAGGUGGUUUUGUUAGUCAAUUGAUUAAAAACAGGGAGAGCCCAGUAUUUAAGUGGAUCUUUUGCUACAGAGUUGACUGCUGAUGGGAGGAAGAACCAGAAAGUCAGGCAAAGCCCCUUUGUGACAGAGCAACGCGGCUAUGGUCUGGUGGUGACCUGACUGACUUUGUCUGACUGUCUUCAUGUCCUUUGUGUUGUGCCUGUCCCUGGAGAGACUCUUCUAGUUCUAUAAGCACUUAGAGGUCUUCAGAGACAUCAUGCGUCUAAGAGCUGAACAAUGAGGCCAUUGUGCUGUGAGGACCAACAUCAGCCUAUGAACUAUUCACUUUGGAGGUGAUUUUCCUGGAUACUUUGUCAGUCUGAAUACAGAACACAAUCUUCCUCAAAAAGUCUACCUCAGAAGCCAUUUUAAAGGUACAGAUGUACACCCAUCUUGGGAACAAUUCCUGCCUUGUCUGGAAAUAGCUUUGGGGAUGAAGCCUGAUGUAAUGUAGCAAUUCUCAAAGUUUGGCCUGAGGAACCCUGCAGGACUUUGAGACCCUUUCAAGUAUUUUCAAAACGAUUCUCAUAAAAAUGGUAUGCACUUGUUUGCCAUCAAACUGAGGAAAAGACAGAAAAUCUGUCUGUGACUCAAUCAUCUCCCUGAAGCAAAUGACAGGCUUUAAGGGAACCAUUUGAGAAGUAAUAUGACAAUGGAUUGGAAAUGACCAUUGGACCUGGAGUCAGAGGGACCUGGGUUCAAGGCCUGGUUUUGUUACUUACUGGAUGUGAGACCAAGGGCAAAUUAUUUCCCAGCUCUCAACCUCAGCUUUUACCUUUGUAGUCUGAAAGCCUUGAAGUGGAAGACCGCUAGAUCUUUUCUCACUUUAAACACAUAGUCUUAAAAUUCACUUUACCUUCAAAGGAUUAUACAUACAUUUUCAUUUUAUGUAUGUAUGCAUAUAUGGAACUUUGCAUCCAGAAGAAGCGUACAACUACAACGAUUAAAAGAACCAAAGCCUAUGAUUAACCAGAAGUUUUGCCUAAAAACAAUGGCAGAGAAAUGGGCAAUACUAAACAUUCAAUGUUAUGGAUCAGAAUAGGAAAGAACUAGUUUUUACCUUCUCCAGGCUUAGAUUGAUACCAAUGACGAUGGCUGAAUUGUUUUUUUCAGUUUAAAAUAAACCUAAAUGAACAACUCAGAGCAUCACAUUUACUAUAAAGAAUCAUGGACAUAGAGCUCUAUGAGGUAUUAAAAAUCAUUUACUCCAAACUCA